UCGGUGGUCUAGAGGAAAUGUACUUGCCUCGAAACCUCGGGGUCCCGGGUUCGAUUCCCGGUGGAGGAA
Molecule: transfer RNA, 69 nt
Filed under: Rhamnusium bicolor
Lineage: Eukaryota; Metazoa; Arthropoda; Insecta; Coleoptera; Cerambycidae
Description: tRNA-OTHER
Source: RNAcentral